RNAcentral lists this unclassified non-coding RNA (220 nucleotides) under plant metagenome. RNAcentral's name for it is "partial contains small subunit ribosomal RNA, internal transcribed spacer 1, and 5.8S ribosomal RNA". The record is from RNAcentral.
UCUCCGUAGGUGAACCUGCGGAAGGAUCAUUACAGAGUUCAUGCCCUCACGGGUAGAUCUCCCACCCUUGAAUAUUUAUACCUUAGUUGCUUUGGCAGGCCGUGGAAACACCAUGGGCUCCGGCUUAUGCGUGCCUGCCAGAGGAAACAAACUCUGUUUUUAGUGAUGUCUGAGUACUAUAUGAUAGUUAAAACUUUCAACAACGGAUCUCUUGGUUCUG